Molecule: long non-coding RNA, 318 nt
Organism: Oncorhynchus gorbuscha (pink salmon)
Lineage: Eukaryota; Metazoa; Chordata; Actinopteri; Salmoniformes; Salmonidae
Exons: 3
Source: RefSeq, a predicted model, not a curated record
AGAAGCAGCAUGGAGGCAAAACGACUCCAGGGGCGCGGAUGAGGAAGGAUCUCAUAUGAACACGGAGAAAAUGGCUUUGGGGUGGAGUUGUGGCCGCAUCAUAGAAGGAUUGUUGGCCUACUUGGAGUGCAUAUCAUGGAAGGAGUGGCCAAAACAUUGUUUGCACAGCGCUGAAGCUUCUAUUGGGCCCCAGAUGGAAAGAUCUGUUGGCUUGGACCUUGGCCUGUGAAAGAUGUGUGCAACGGAAAGCACGUUCUGAAGGUUCUUUCCCUCUUUCUAUCCCUCUCUCUCCCCCUCCCUCUCUCCCUCUCUCGCUCU